Molecule: transfer RNA, 76 nt
Filed under: Chloroflexota bacterium
Lineage: Bacteria; Bacillati; Chloroflexota
Also listed under: 2 other names
Description: Chloroflexi bacterium tRNA-Thr
Rfam family: tRNA
About the family: Transfer RNA (tRNA) molecules are approximately 80 nucleotides in length.
Source: RNAcentral
GCCCCAGUGGCGCAGUGGCUAGCGCAACUGAUUUGUAAUCAGUAGGUCGCGGGUUCGAAUCCCUCCUGGGGCUCCA